Molecule: small nuclear RNA, 107 nt
Organism: Macaca fascicularis (crab-eating macaque)
Lineage: Eukaryota; Metazoa; Chordata; Mammalia; Primates; Cercopithecidae
Source: Ensembl
AUGCUCACUUCGGCAGCACAUAUACUAAAACUGGAACGAUACAGAGAAGAUUAGCAUGGCCCCUGUGCAAGGAUGACACGCAAAUUUGUGAAGCGUUCCAUAUUUUU